AAUAACGGAUCUUCUUUAACCGACAACCGCUGAAAGGUUUUUGCCAAAUUCAAAAUGGCGGUCUUUGUUUGUAGAUUUCCUUCUUGACGAGAGCGAGAUCAGCCGUCUUUUGAGUCACACAGUUGAAUCAUGAAGCGUGUAUUCAGUGUUCCUGAAAAGGUGACAGGAGGGGGUACAGUCACCUACAGCUGGCAGCAAAAAUUAGGCAACUAUUUAGCUGUAACUGGGACAAACAGAGUUGUGGUGAUUUAUGAUCGUCAUGGAGAUCAGAGAGACGAAAUCAACCUUCCAGGGUGAGUUGCUUUAUUUUGUCACAUACGGUACUGUACAUGUGGUUCUCUCACUGAAAUAGAGAGCUGUGGUGAAAUACUUGAAAUUUAUUGUGUGCAGAAAGAUUUCAAGGUUUUAAGGUCCAUGGCAUACUGUAUACUGUUUUUAAAGUAAAUACAAAGGGUCAGCACAAUGUUUUAAAAAAAUAAGCAGUUUCCAUGUUCUGCAGCUUACGUGUACUUUGGUCCACAUUUACAACUCUGCUCAUGAAUAGACCAAUUUUGAUAUAUUAAAAUUCAGCCUAAAACAAUAGACUUCAGUACGAGGCUCUGGGGAAUAACUGCAGAGUCUGUGGGGUUUAAUUGCCAGAACCUCGUGCUGAGGUCUGCUGUAUUAGGCUGAAUUUUAAUAUAUCAAAAUUGGUCAAUUGGCUAUUCUUGUAUACCUUGUAGGCCAAAAUCGUACACAAAACCAUAACAGUGUCUAGUGUCUACUAAAGCAACUGGACAACAUAUGAUUUACGUACACUUUAUAUGUAAAGUAUAUGUGCUGCCAGUGGUUCAAUUUUUACCUCUGUUGUAAUUUUUUCUAAGCAGUGUCUCUUUUUUCACUUUUUUGGGUGGAAGGGAGGGGGUGGGUCUUAAUAAGAAUACCAUAUGUGUACACUACCCACCCUCCCCUCAGUUCCAUGUGAAUUUUAAGUUAUUUUCAAUUAAAAAAAAUCUAAAGCAGAGGUAAAGAUUGAACCAUAACAUACAUGUCUGUAGAUUUACACCCCUGUUCCCUAGAUAGGGGACUAAACUGCAUCAUUAACCCAUUGACUUCCUUGCUGCCCGUA
Molecule: long non-coding RNA, 1108 nt
Organism: Orbicella faveolata
Lineage: Eukaryota; Metazoa; Cnidaria; Anthozoa; Scleractinia; Merulinidae
Source: RefSeq, a predicted model, not a curated record